Molecule: ribosomal RNA, 506 nt
Filed under: uncultured bacterium
Lineage: Bacteria
Description: bacterial SSU rRNA
Rfam family: Bacterial small subunit ribosomal RNA
Source: RNAcentral
GACAAACGCUGGCGGCGCGCUUAAGCUUAUGCAAGUCGUGCGAUUAAAGCUCCCUUCGGGGAGUGCAUAAAGCGGCGAACGGGUGAGUAACACGUGGGCAACCUACCCUCCGUGUGGGGAAUAACCCGCCGAAAGGCGGGCUAAUACCGCAUACGCUCUCCAGUCGACCUCGCCUGGGGAGGAAAGUCGGCCUCUGCUUGCAUGCUGACGCCGGAGGAGGGGCCCGCGCGCUAUUAGCUAGAUGGUGGGGUAACGGCCUACCAUGGCGAUGAUGGCUAGCCGGCCUUAGAGGGCGUUCGGCCACACAGGGACUGAGACAAGGCCCUGUCCCCUACGGGAGGCGCAGGCGGGAAUUGUUCCCAAUGGGCGCAAGCCUGAGGACGCGACGCCGCGUGAGGGAUGAAGGCCUUCGGGUUGUAAACCUCUGCCGGGAGAGAAGAACGACGGGCGGUUAAUAGCCGCCCGGGCCGACGUUAUCUCCCAAGAAAGCCUCGGCUAACUACGUG